This 244-nucleotide ribosomal RNA is filed under the name uncultured bacterium. RNAcentral's name for it is "partial 16S ribosomal RNA". It matches the Rfam family "Bacterial small subunit ribosomal RNA", at positions 533 to 776 of the family's 1533-position model. The record is from RNAcentral.
UGCGAACGUUGUUCGGAAUCACUGGGCUUAAAGGGCGCGUAGGCGGCCCGCCGCGUCCGGGGUGAAAUCCUCCCGCUCAACGGGAGAACGGCCUCGGAUACGGGCGGGCUGGAGGCGGGUAGGGGCGGGCGGAACUGUGGGUGGAGCGGUGAAAUGCGUUGAUAUCCACAGGAACUCCGGUGGCGAAGGCGGCCCGCUGGACCCGAUCUGACGCUGAGGCGCGAAAGCCAGGGGAGCGAACGGG